CUAAUACUGUAUUAUGGAAUUUGUAUGAUUUUGUUAAUUUAAUGACCCAAUAGAAUUCAAUAACUCUGAUUUCCCUCGAAGACUACAAACAAGAGCUGAAGAACCUCGUCGUCUGGAGGUUAUGAAGAACCUGACAGGUCUGUGGGGCAGCACUGGGCAAGGCCAGCCUCAGCCGACUCCACGAGCCAACCGUCUCAGCCCCUCCCUGGCCCAGUACUUAGCCUCCACUGUCACACCGAGGACCUUUGACCUCCAGAUAAUGGGCAUGACCUCUGACCUAAUGGACUUCUUGGACAUGCCCGAGGAGAGACUGUCUAUAGAGCUUUGGGACCUCGGGGAGGGCACAGGGGACCAGCGCUACAAAGCCAACUGGCAAUUCUCAGAGGAGCACGGCAAUGUGCUGAUGGAGGGAGUCUGGCUCCAGAAAGACGACAACUGGUAAUUUGGAGACCUCAGCUCGCCCAAACGCUUCCUCAGUAGGAAAGAGGAGGGAGCUUAUCUGCUGAUAUUCACUCAUUCAUAUGCACACAUCAGUAAAGGCUUUGAGGAAAAUAGAAAUUGCAAUUGGAAGUUCAGUUUACUUUCUGAAUUUUAAAGGAAUUGACACCAACCCCGGAACAAAUACACACAGGCUCACAGGCACACACAAAAAAAGGAUGACUCUUGAGGAUUGCAGUAUCUUAUCAUUUUUAUAUACAAUUAAUAUUUUCAUUAGCAUACAUACAGUCAUUCUUGUGUUUUUAUUCAUUUUUAAAAUCAUGACAACCAGAGAAGUGUAGCAUUGUAGGGUUGCUGUGUCUGUGCAUUUGAUUAGUCUAAAACAUCAUGAACUGAUGGUGUCACAGGUGGGAUCUGAACCCUGGUCUACUGCGUGAGAAACCACCAUCUUAACAAUUAGGCCAAUAGAUAAUUCCUCAAUUACACUGGCAUAAGGGCCACUUAUAGGAAUGAAUCUCUACCAGGUAUAGUAAGACAACAUAUUUAAUAACUUAUGUGUCAUAUUACUUCCCCGAAAGGAAUAUAGAUGUGUUGAUCCCCAGGAUGGGAUAUAUGAGGAUGAUAUGUCCACCCAAGCAUCCAGACGCAUGAAAUAAAUUAGCUUCCAAAAUGCACUUGAUUGCUGAAAUAAAUGGAUUUACGUUAAUGAUUCUAUAUUUUAUUCGCUUUUUUACAGCGCAUGGUUAUCUUUGAGCUUGUGAAAAAGUGAGUUUGUUUCAGUGUCAAUUGGUGCUUUUUUUACUCAUUCAUCUAGAGUGUGUUAUUUAAAUGACUGAUUUACGUUGGGGUUUUGGUUAAUUCAGAUGGUAUUUACAGUGCUUUCAGAAAGUGUUCACACGCCUUGACUUUUUCCACAUUUUGUUGUGUUACAACCUGAAUUUAAAAUGGAUUCAAUUGAAAUGUGUUUUGUCACUGGCCUGCAAACAAUACCCCAUAAUAUCAGAGUGGAAUUUAGUUUUUUAGAAAUGUUUACAAAUUAAUUAAAAUUGAAAAGUUGAAAUGUCUUGAGUCAGUAAGUAUUCAACCCCUUUGUAAUGACAAGCCUAAAUAAGUUCAGGAAUAAAAAUGUGCUUAACAAGUCACAA
This is a long non-coding RNA of Oncorhynchus tshawytscha (Chinook salmon), 1583 nucleotides long. The record is from Ensembl. Lineage: Eukaryota; Metazoa; Chordata; Actinopteri; Salmoniformes; Salmonidae.